Molecule: ribosomal RNA, 510 nt
Filed under: uncultured bacterium
Lineage: Bacteria
Description: partial 16S ribosomal RNA
Rfam family: Bacterial small subunit ribosomal RNA
Source: RNAcentral
GACGAACGCUGGCGGCGUGCCUAAUACAUGCAAGUCGAGCGGACUUAAAGAGCUUGCUUUUUAAGUUAGCGGCGGACGGGUGAGUAACACGUGGGCAACCUGCCUGUAAGACUGGGAUAACUUCGGGAAACCGGAGCUAAUACCGGAUAAUCCUUUCCUACUCAUGUAGGAAAGCUGAAAGACGGUUUACGCUGUCACUUACAGAUGGGCCCGCGGCGCAUUAGCUAGUUGGUCAGGUAACGGCUCACCAAGGCGACGAUGCGUAGCCGACCUGAGAGAGUGAUCGACCACACUGGGAGUGAGACACGGCGCAGACUGCUGCGGGAGGCAGCAGUAGUGAAGUUUCCGCAAUGGACGAAAGUCUGAAGAAGCAACGUCGCGUGAGUGAUGAAGGUUUUCGGAUCGUAAAACUCUGUUGUUAGGGAAGAACAAGUACGAGAGUAACUGCUCGUACCUUGACGGUACCUAACCAGAAAGCCACGGCUAACUACGUGCCAGCCGCCGCGGUAA